GCUUUCACUGUCUACAAAGUGCAUUGAAAAAAUUGCCAACCUCAAUGGCUUAAAAAACUUGAGGAUAUUGUCUUUAGGAAGAAACAACAUAAAGAACUUAAAUGGACUGUAAGUCUAGCUUGUGCUUCCUAAGAACCAGCAGGGAUGAAUCUACGGAGCUUCUCGACAAUAAUCUCACCAAACCAGACAGGCUGAAGUGGCCGUCCCCUUGUUGCAGAGGCCACUAUAAUACCUGAACAGGAGUCCGUGUUCAGAGCUGUGAUUUUGGAAUUAUCUUGAAAUGUC
This is a long non-coding RNA of Mustela erminea (ermine), 285 nucleotides long. RefSeq lists it as uncharacterized. The record is from RefSeq and is a predicted model, not a curated record. NCBI's taxonomy places the organism in Eukaryota, Metazoa, Chordata, Mammalia, Carnivora, Mustelidae. The transcript has 3 exons.